Molecule: long non-coding RNA, 521 nt
Filed under: Equus caballus (horse)
Lineage: Eukaryota; Metazoa; Chordata; Mammalia; Perissodactyla; Equidae
Description: lncRNA (ENSECAG00000058642.1)
Source: RNAcentral
AGCCCCUCUGAGGAAGUGACAUUUAAAUGGAAGUCUAAUUAAAUUACUCUAGGAAGAGGACACAGCAAGUACAAAUGUCAGAAGACCAGUACAGGUGUCACCGGACUAAAACUGGAGUAUCAGCAGGCAUUCCCUGCUGGAGGCUUAAGGGCAGAAUCCAUUUCCUUGCAUUUUCCAGCUUCUAGAGGCAUCUCCCUGGUCCUUGCAUACUGUCGCCAACAUUUCAGAACUGGCAAUAGGGCAGUACUUUCUGUCAGAAUGACCUCUUUCACCAUCUACCUCAAGUUGACAACUGAUGCAAGACAUCUACUUUCCCACAGAAAACAUAGAAAAGAACAGCCAAGGCUCUUUAUUAUCUUGUCCUCAAGCUCUCUCAGGUGUUGGAGAUAAUCAAGAUAAUCCAAAAAAAUGCUUUAUCGCAAGAAGGAUAUGUACCUGGAUCCAGUAGAGUAAGAUGUAAUUCUCAGAUUUCUAUUAAAACUAUUUGGGGAAGACCCAAACUCUCUUUCCAUUAAAAUUGC